Fukomys damarensis (Damara mole-rat) is the source of this 768-nucleotide long non-coding RNA. RefSeq lists it as uncharacterized. Lineage: Eukaryota; Metazoa; Chordata; Mammalia; Rodentia; Bathyergidae. The record is from RefSeq and is a predicted model, not a curated record. The transcript has 3 exons.
UCUUGCGGGGUUCCCCAGGGUCCCCGCUGCGUCCUAGCGACGCUGGGCUCACCGAGCUGUGCGCGGACCUGGUGACCCGGGACAGCUGGGGACGCUGGCGAUCAGGGUUUCCGUUUCUUUGAAGAUUUGCUUUCCAAGUAAGAUUGGGGUUUGCCUGGUUUUCUCCUGAAAAUUUCGUCCACACAAGCAGCUAUGGCAGACAGACUCUACGGUGACCCUCAUUAUCCACUUUCUGAUGCUCAUGCCUUCCCGUGGGGUCUGACUGUGAUGGUGAAUCAACUGUGUCAACUUGAGAAUGAGAAGCUCAACUGAUUUGGAAGACUCAUCCCAGGGCAGCUUAUCACCUGCAUGGUACGCUUCAGCCUUCUGGUGCUGCCCAGGACACUGCAGUGGGCUCCAGACCUUCGACUGGAUGCUCAGUCCCCAGCGUGUGGACAGACCCUCUGCACUCUUCCUCAUCAGACUCUGUGGGUGGCCACCGCAAGCCAAUCGUGUAAAUUCUCAUAUAUUUGUAUAUCUUGUGUUGUAUCUGUUUCUCUGGUAAACAUGGACUGAUGUAGCUCCUUGAGUCUGGGCACAACUUGCUUAUUACUUCCUUCUAAUCAAUGGAACGGGGCAAAGGUGACAAGAUGUCACUCAGAAUUACUUUACCUUACAUGAGUUUUUUAUGUCUAAAUUUUAAUCAAAAAAUGUUGUGCUUCAAUUUUUAGCUAAUAAAUGUUUAUUUGUUUACAUAUUUAGGUGUUUUUGAGACAGGGUUUCACUAUG